RNAcentral lists this transfer RNA (68 nucleotides) under Panonychus ulmi (European red spider mite). Its description in RNAcentral is "tRNA-Asn". Lineage: Eukaryota; Metazoa; Arthropoda; Arachnida; Trombidiformes; Tetranychidae. The record is from RNAcentral.
UUUAAAAGAAGCUUAUCAGUAUUUUGUUGUUAACAAAAAGAAGAAAAUAAAAAAUUUUCCUUUUAAAU